RNAcentral lists this transfer RNA (64 nucleotides) under marine eukaryotic metagenome. It matches the Rfam family "tRNA", at positions 5 to 66 of the family's 71-position model. Rfam says of the family: Transfer RNA (tRNA) molecules are approximately 80 nucleotides in length. Their secondary structure includes four short double-helical elements and three loops (D, anti-codon, and T loops). The record is from RNAcentral.
CGGUAGCUCAGUUGGUAGAGCAACGGACUUUUAAUCCGUAGGUCGUGGGUUCGACCCCCACCCG